Molecule: ribosomal RNA, 498 nt
Filed under: uncultured bacterium
Lineage: Bacteria
Description: bacterial SSU rRNA
Rfam family: Bacterial small subunit ribosomal RNA
Source: RNAcentral
UCAGGAUGAACGCUAGCGGCAGGCUUAAUACAUGCAAGUCGAACGGGAUUCAGGUAGCAAUACUUGAUGAGAGUGGCGCACGGGUGCGUAACACGUAUGCAACCUACCUUUAACUGGUGAAUAGCCCGGGAAAUCGGGAUUAAUACACCAUAACAUUACAAGAGGGCAUCCUCUAAUAAUUAAAGAACUUCGGUUAAAGAUGGGCAUGCGGGACAUUAGCUAGUUGGUGAGGUAACGGCUCACCAAGGCAACGAUGUCUAGGGGUCCUGAGAGGGUUAUCCCCCACACUGGUACUGAGACACGGACCAGACUCCUACGGGAGGCAGCAGUAAGGAAUAUUGGUCAAUGGGCGCAAGCCUGAACCAGCCAUGCCGCGUGAAAAGGAAGACGGCGCUAUGCGUUGUAAACUUCUUUUGUCAGGGAAUAAAUGUAGGUACGUGUACUUACUUGAAGGUACCUGAAGAAUAAGCAUCGGCUAACGUCCGUGCCAGCCGCAGC